This 168-nucleotide unclassified non-coding RNA is filed under the name uncultured fungus. RNAcentral's name for it is "sequence contains ITS1". Lineage: Eukaryota; Fungi. The record is from RNAcentral.
UUGAUUCAUUUGUUUUCGACUCAGAAGACAUCCGUAGAGACAGGGGUUCGGGUCCUCCGGCGGGCGGCCCCUCGCGGGAGCGCCCGCCGAGGCAACGGCGGUAAGGUUCACAGGGGGUGUUGGAGUUGGAGCUCGGUAAUGAUCCCUCCGCUGGUUCACCUACGGAAA